Molecule: microRNA precursor, 83 nt
Filed under: Chlorocebus sabaeus (green monkey)
Lineage: Eukaryota; Metazoa; Chordata; Mammalia; Primates; Cercopithecidae
Description: miRNA (ENSCSAG00000024758.1)
Source: RNAcentral
UAGGAUGACCGACUGUCCUGGUUUGCCUGGGACUGAGGGGUUUCCAGGGGUGUGGAACUUCCACUGCUAAAACCAGGAAAGUC